CCUACGGGAGGCAGCAGUGGGGAAUCUUGCGCAAUGGGCGAAAGCCUGACGCAGCAACGCCGCGUGCGGGAAGAAGGCUUUCGGGCUGUAAACCGCUUUCAGCAGGAACGAAAAUGACGGUACCUGCAGAAGAAGGAGCGGCCAACUAUGUGCCAGCAGCCGCGGUGAUACAUAGGCUUCAAGCGUUGUCCGGAUUUAUUGGGCGUAAAGAGUUCGUAGGCGGUCGAGUAAGUCGGGUGUGAAAAUUCUGGGCUCAACCCAGAGACGCCACCCGAUACUGCUUAACUUGAGUUCGAUAGGGGAGUGGGGAAUUCCUAGUGUAGCGGUGAAAUGCGCAGAUAUUAGGAGGAACACCGGUGGCGAAGGCGCCACUCUGGAUCGAUACUGACGCUGAGGAACGAAAGCAUGGGUAGCAAACAGGAUUAGAUACCCUGGUAGUCCAUGCCGUAAACGGUGGGCACUAGGUGUGGGAUUCUAUUAACGAAUUCCGCGCCGUCGCUAACGCAUUAAGUGCCCCGCCUGGGGAGUACGGUCGCAAGCUAAAACUCAAAUGAAAUUGACGGCUUGAGAGUUGCGAGCGACGACGAGGGAGAGG
This 595-nucleotide ribosomal RNA is filed under the name uncultured bacterium. Its description in RNAcentral is "bacterial SSU rRNA". It matches the Rfam family "Bacterial small subunit ribosomal RNA", at positions 338 to 950 of the family's 1533-position model. The record is from RNAcentral.